CGGCCGGGGUUUGGCACCCAAACACGUGCCGGGGGGGCUUUGCUGGGAAAGGGCACGGCGCCCCGGGGGCCGUUGGGGCGGGCGCCUCCCGGCUCGGCGCCCGCUGGCUCUGGAGCAGCCGGGCUCCUCGCAGCCCCCCAGCCCUGGGACGCGUCUCGCGCCGGGUUUAACCCGCCCCGGCCCGUGGCGGGUGCCGCGACGCCGGGCUCUCCACGGCUCCCCCCCGGCCCAGAUCACCCGGCGAGCCCUCUUCCCCGGAGACUCGGAGAUCGACCAGCUCUUCCGCAUCUUCCGCACGCUGGGCACGCCGGACGAGGCCGUGUGGCCCGGCGUCACCUCCAUGCCCGACUACAAGCCCAGCUUCCCCAAGUGGGCGCGCCAGGACUUCGGCAAGGUGGUGCCGCCCCUGGACGAGGAGGGCCGCAAGCUGCUGGCGCAAAUGCUGCACUACGACCCCAACAAGCGGAUCUCGGCCAAGGCGGCGCUGGGUCACCCCUUCUUCCGCGACGUCACCCGGGCCGUCCCCCACCUGCGCUUGUGAYGCAGCCCGGCCCCAGGGCUGCCGCCCCCCCCCCUUGCACUUAGCCCCCGGGGCUCGGCUGCGCCGGGGCCCCCGGGCCGGGACUCGCAGCCUCCCACCCGGCCCCAGCGCCGGCCCCGCACCGCCCAGGUGAGAUCCCGGGCCCGGGAGGCGCCUCCGGCCCCAGGGCAGCGUCGCUGCGGCUCGGGGACCCUCGUCCCCCCUGUGUGACUCCCUCCUGCCCCGACCCCGGGGAGCGAGCGGGGCCCCGCGUGGGGUGAGGGUUGUUCCGGCGGGCGCGAUCCCGCCGGGCCUGCUCCAUUCCCGCCUGGCGGAGGCUCCYGUCUUCCCUCUCCUGGACUUCAGGCACUUACUGCCCUUCCCCGGAGGCGUUUCGGGCUGCGGAGCGGCACCGUCGGGGCCCCGUCCCGGCUUUGCCCAGCUCCUGCCACGCCGCCGGGCCUCUCCCGGCUCCCCGCGCCCGGCUCCGCGCCUUGUCCGUCC
Molecule: long non-coding RNA, 1024 nt
Filed under: Dromaius novaehollandiae (emu)
Lineage: Eukaryota; Metazoa; Chordata; Aves; Casuariiformes; Dromaiidae
Description: lncRNA (ENSDNVG00000014457.1)
Source: RNAcentral